AUUGAACGCUGGCGGCAUGCUUUACACAUGCAAGUCGAACGGCAGCGCGGGCAACCUGGCGGCGAGUGGGGGACGGGUGAGGAAUAUAUCGGAACGGUCCCCGAAGGGGGGGAUAACGUAGCGAAAGGUACGCUAAUUCCCCAUACGGACCACGGGUGAAAGGAGGGGGCCGCAAGGCCUUAUUCUUUUGGAGCGGCCGAUAUCUGAUUAGCUAGUUGGUGAGGUAAAGGCUCACCAAGGCGACGAUCAGUAGCUGGUCUGAGAGGACGACCAGCCACACUGGAACUGAGACACGGUCCAGACUCCUACGGGAGGCAGCAGUGGGGAAUUUUGGACAAUGGGCGCAAGCCUGAUCCAGCAAUGCCGCGUGAGUGAAGAAGGCCUUCGGGUUGUAAAGCUCUUUUGUCAGGGAAGAAACGGUAGAGGCUAAUAUCCUUUGCUAAUGACGGUACCUGAAGAAUAAGCACCGGCUAACUACGUG
This 481-nucleotide ribosomal RNA is filed under the name uncultured bacterium. Its description in RNAcentral is "partial 16S ribosomal RNA". It matches the Rfam family "Bacterial small subunit ribosomal RNA", at positions 30 to 507 of the family's 1533-position model. The record is from RNAcentral.